Molecule: unclassified non-coding RNA, 252 nt
Rfam family: Eukaryotic small subunit ribosomal RNA (bases 1-46)
AAGUCGUAACAAGGUUUCCGUAGGUGAACCUGCGGAAGGAUCAUUAUCGAAUUAUAAGCAAAGGUUGUUGCUGGCCCCUCGGGGCAUGUGCACGCCCUAGCUCUUAAUCCACUUACACCUGUGAACUCAAUGUGGGACGUCCUUCGGGAUGAUUCUCAUGUCUUUCAUAUACUCUUAUGUAUGUCGCGGAAUGUCUUAUUGUUGCUUUAACGCAAUUAUAUACAACUUUCAACAACGGAUCUCUUGGCUCUC